This 437-nucleotide ribosomal RNA is filed under the name uncultured Saccharofermentans sp. RNAcentral describes it as "bacterial SSU rRNA". It matches the Rfam family "Bacterial small subunit ribosomal RNA", at positions 341 to 792 of the family's 1533-position model. The record is from RNAcentral. Lineage: Bacteria; Bacillati; Bacillota; Clostridia; Eubacteriales; Oscillospiraceae.
ACGGGAGGCAGCAGUGGGGAAUAUUGGGCAAUGGGUGAAAGCCUGACCCAGCAACGCCGCGUGAAGGAUGAAGGUCUUCGGAUUGUAAACUUCUUUGAUCAGGGACGAAACAAAUGACGGUACCUGAAGAACAAGCCACGGCUAACUACGUGCCAGCAGCCGCGGUAAUACGUAGGUGGCGAGCGUUAUCCGGAUUUACUGGGUGUAAAGGGCGUGUAGGCGGUUCUGCAAGUCAGAAGUGAAAUUCCCGGGCUUAACUCGGGCGCUGCUUCUGAAACUGUAGAACUUGAGUGCUGGAGAGGAUAGUGGAAUUCCUAGUGUAGCGGUAAAAUGCGUAGAUAUUAGGAGGAACACCAGUGGCGAAGGCGGCGAUCUGGACAGUAACUGACGCUGAGGCGCGAAAGCGUGGGGAGCAAACAGGAUUAGAUACCCUGGUA